This 30-nucleotide non-coding RNA is filed under the name Homo sapiens (human). The record is from RNAcentral. Lineage: Eukaryota; Metazoa; Chordata; Mammalia; Primates; Hominidae.
UGACAAUUUAUUUGUGAUAGAUGAUACGAG